Molecule: ribosomal RNA, 469 nt
Filed under: uncultured bacterium
Lineage: Bacteria
Description: partial 16S ribosomal RNA
Rfam family: Bacterial small subunit ribosomal RNA
Source: RNAcentral
GAUGAACGCUGGCGGCGCGCCUAACACAUGCCAGUCGAACGGUUAAAGCACCUUUUAGGUGUGUAUAAAGUGGCGAACGGCUGGGUAACACGUGGGCAACCUGCCCUCCUCUUGGGGAUAGCCUCGGGAAACCGAGGAUAAUACCCGAUACUUCAAUGUGGCCGCAUGACGACAUUGAGAAAGCUUUUGCGGAGAAGGAUGGGCCCGCGGCCUGUUAGCUUGUUGGUGGGGUAGAGGCCUACCAAGGCAAUGAUGGGUAGCUGGGUUGAGAGACCGACCAGCCAGAUUGGGACUGAGACACGGCCCAGACUCCUACGGGAGGCAGCAGUGGGGAAUCUUGCACAAUGGGCGAAAGCCUGAUGCAGCGACGCCGCGGGCGGGACGAAGGCCUUCGGGUUGUAAACCGCUUUCAGCAGGGACGAGGCGAUAAGUGACGGUACCUGCAGAAGAAGCCCCGGCUAACUACGUG